Molecule: ribosomal RNA, 387 nt
Filed under: uncultured bacterium
Lineage: Bacteria
Description: bacterial SSU rRNA
Rfam family: Bacterial small subunit ribosomal RNA
Source: RNAcentral
GACGAACGCUGGCGGCGUGCUUAACACAUGCAAGUCGAGCGGUAAGGCCCUUUCGGGGGUACACGAGCGGCGAACGGGUGAGUAACACGUGGGUGACCUGCCCUCAGCUCUGGGAUAAGCCUGGGAAACCGGGUCUAAUACCGGAUAUGUACUCCAUGACGCAUGUUGUGGGGUGGAAAGCCUUGUGCGGCUGAGGAUGGGCCCGCGGCCUAUCAGCUUGUUGGUGGGGUGAUGGCCUACCAAGGCGACGACGGGUAGCCGGCCUGAGAGGGCGACCGGCCACACUGGGACUGAGACACGGCCCAGACUCCUACGGGAGCAGCAGUGGGGAAUCUUGCGCAAUGGGCGAAAGCCUGACGCAGCGACGCCGCGUGAGGGAUGACGGCC